Molecule: ribosomal RNA, 805 nt
Filed under: Frankliniella occidentalis (western flower thrips)
Lineage: Eukaryota; Metazoa; Arthropoda; Insecta; Thysanoptera; Thripidae
Description: eukaryotic LSU rRNA
Rfam family: Eukaryotic large subunit ribosomal RNA
Source: RNAcentral
GACCUCAGUUCAGGUGAGAUUACCGGCUGAAUUUAAGCAUAUUACUAAGCCGAGGAAAAGAAACUAACAAGGAUUCCCCUAGUAGCAGCGAGCGAACAGGGAAGAGCCCAGCGCUGAAUCCCCCGGGCCUCGCUCGGCGGGAAAUGUAGCGUUUGGGAGGGCCCGUCAACACGGCGACUCGCUCACUGGUUCAAGUCCAACUUGAAUGGGGCCACACAGAGGGUGACAGGCCCGUAGAGCAGGAGCGGUUGUCGUGUGGGUCUCUCCUUAGAGUCGGUUUGCUUGAGAGUGCAGACUUAAGUGGGUGGUAAACUCCAUCUAAGGCUAAAUAUGACCACGAGACCGAUAGCACACAAGUACCGUGAGGGAAAGGUGAAAAGAACUUUGAAGAGAGAGUUCAAGAGUACGUGAAACUGAAGUGGUGUAAACGACGAGUUCGAAAAGUCCGAAUGGUGAGAUUCAAGCUUACCGUGCCGGUGGCCCUCGGGUUCAGAUGGCGUCGUCAGCUCGGGCUUCGGUUCGGGUCAUACGGCGUCACUCGUCCUGGGGGUAUCUGUCUGGUGCGGUGGGCUGCACUUCUCGCCUAGUAGGACGUCGCGACCCGUUGGGAUGUUCCGUUCACUGGCCCCUGGUGGAGCCCGCGCCGGAGCGUGGCCUUGUGCCGCGUUGCUGUUUGCACGGACCCGGGGUGACCUGAUCGGCGCCCGACGGUAUCAAAGCUUGGGAAGAGGCCGCACAGAGGAUGCGUUCGAUGGCCGUUUCGGCCUACACUCGGACAGGCCUGCACCCGGUCAGCGGCGCUUCU